Molecule: ribosomal RNA, 253 nt
Filed under: uncultured bacterium
Lineage: Bacteria
Description: partial 16S ribosomal RNA
Rfam family: Bacterial small subunit ribosomal RNA
Source: RNAcentral
UACAGAGGUCUCAAGCGUUGUUCGGAUUCAUUGGGCGUAAAGGGUGCGUAGGCGGCGCUGUAAGUUGGAUGUGAAAUCUCGGGGCUUAACCCCGAAACUGCAUUCAAUACUGCAGUGCUCGAGUACUGGAGAGGAGACUGGAAUUCAUGGUGUAGCAGUGAAAUGCGUAGAUAUCAUGAGGAAGGCCAGUGGCGAAGGCGGGUCUCUGGACAGUUACUGACGCUGAGGCACGAAGGCCAGGGGAGCAAACGGG